AAGAGAUGUAUCUCCAUAAGAUAUCAACAACUCAAUCCAACAAAUUGAAAUCAUGGCUAAAGCUGCUCAUCUAAGUUCGUCUCCGAGUUUUCUCAUUGGGUUUCUCUUGGUUUUGAUCGUUGCAAACACAGUAUACGUCCGUGGUGAAUGUGUUGUGGGAAAUUCAGUGUGGGUGAAGUCGUGUCCAAGAAGUAAUUGUGAUAGUCUUUGUAGAUUUCAUAGCAAUUUUGUAGUCGGUCAUACUGAAUGCACAGUUGGUCCAUUUCAAACUAAUAUGUGCUUAUGUUGCCGGUAACGAUAUAAAAAGGCAACUUUCGUCGGCAAUCGGCAUGGCACCAAUCAUGUAUCACACUCACUUGUUUGCUUCUUUGUAGUAGUAAGUUCCAUGAACGCGUUAUUUGCUUAAUUGUAUCAGUUUAAUCAUUUCGUUCUCGGAUCUAUUGUUUAUCUAUUAUUAUCUGUUUGUAAUUGUAGUUCUUACGAAUUGCUGGUUAUUUUACCAAA
Papaver somniferum (opium poppy) is the source of this 504-nucleotide long non-coding RNA. RefSeq lists it as uncharacterized. Lineage: Eukaryota; Viridiplantae; Streptophyta; Magnoliopsida; Ranunculales; Papaveraceae. The transcript is spliced from 2 exons. The record is from RefSeq and is a predicted model, not a curated record.